CACGUAGGGGGCGAGCGUUGUCCGGAUUUAUUGGGCGUAAAGAGCUCGUAGGCGGCUCGGUAAGUCGGGUGUGAAACCUCCAGGCUCAACCUGGAGACGCCACUCGAUACUGCCGUGGCUAGAGUCCGGUAGAGGAGCGUAGAAUUCCUGGUGUAGCGGUGAAAUGCGCAGAUAUCAGGAGGAAUACCAGCGGCGAAGGCGGAUCUCUGGGCCAUUACUGACGCUGAGGAGCGAAAGCGUGGGGAGCGAACAGG
RNAcentral lists this ribosomal RNA (254 nucleotides) under uncultured bacterium. RNAcentral describes it as "partial 16S ribosomal RNA". It matches the Rfam family "Bacterial small subunit ribosomal RNA", at positions 524 to 776 of the family's 1533-position model. The record is from RNAcentral.